AGUAGCUCAGUUGGUAGAGCAAUCGGCUGUUAACCGAUCGGUCGUAGGUUCGAGUCCUACCU
Molecule: transfer RNA, 62 nt
Filed under: Listeria grayi
Lineage: Bacteria; Bacillati; Bacillota; Bacilli; Caryophanales; Listeriaceae
Rfam family: tRNA
About the family: Transfer RNA (tRNA) molecules are approximately 80 nucleotides in length. Their secondary structure includes four short double-helical elements and three loops (D, anti-codon, and T loops).
Source: RNAcentral